This 357-nucleotide RNase P RNA is filed under the name uncultured Intestinimonas sp. RNAcentral's name for it is "Bacterial RNase P class A". It matches the Rfam family "Bacterial RNase P class A". From Rfam's summary of the family: Ribonuclease P (RNase P) is a ubiquitous endoribonuclease, found in archaea, bacteria and eukarya as well as chloroplasts and mitochondria. Its best characterised activity is the generation of mature 5'-ends of tRNAs by cleaving the 5'-leader elements of precursor-tRNAs. Lineage: Bacteria; Bacillati; Bacillota; Clostridia; Eubacteriales. The record is from RNAcentral.
AGCAGGCUGGACAGCCGCGUGGGCAGCGCCGAAAGGCCGUCCAUGAGGAAAGUCCGGGCUCCACAGGGCAAGGAUAACGGAUAACAUCCGCCGGAGGCGACUCUAGGAAAAGUGCAACAGAAAUAUACCGCCUUGCGGCGCUUUCGCGCCACAAGGUAAGGAUGGAAAGGCGAGGUAAGAGCUCACCCGAUGGCUGGUCAAACUGCCCAUCGCUGUAAACUCUAUCCGGAGCAACACCGUGGAGGGACACACAGGCCGGCCCGGCCGUCCCGAGGAGGUGGCUGGAACGCGCUGGCGACGGCGCGUCUAGAUAGAUGGCUGUCUUCAAUGACAGAACCCGGCUUACAGGCUUACUUG